This 326-nucleotide unclassified non-coding RNA is filed under the name soil metagenome. RNAcentral's name for it is "partial contains 5.8S ribosomal RNA, internal transcribed spacer 2, and large subunit ribosomal RNA". The stretch from base 1 to 120 matches the Rfam family "5.8S ribosomal RNA", at positions 35 to 154 of the family's 154-position model. The record is from RNAcentral.
GAUGAAGACCGUAGCGAAAUGCGAUAAGUAAUGUGAAUUGCAGAAUUCAGUGAAUCAUCGAAUCUUUGAACGCACAUUGCGCCCCUUGGUAUUCCGAGGGGCAUGCCUGUUCGAGCGUCAUAUUAACCACUCCCGCUUGCGGGGUCUUGGGCUUCGCCUCCGGGCGGGCCUUAAAAUCAGUGGCGGUGCCGUCGGGCUCUACGCGUAGUAAAUUUUCUCGCGAUAGGGUCCCGGUGGAUGCUUGCCAACAACCCCCAACUUCUUAAGGUUGACCUCGGAUCAGGUAGGGAUACCCGCUGAACUUAAGCAUAUCAAUAAGCGGAGGA